This 497-nucleotide ribosomal RNA is filed under the name uncultured bacterium. RNAcentral's name for it is "partial 16S ribosomal RNA". It matches the Rfam family "Bacterial small subunit ribosomal RNA", at positions 28 to 507 of the family's 1533-position model. The record is from RNAcentral.
GAUGAACGCUGGCGGCGUGCCUAAUACAUGCAAGUCGAGCGAACGGACGAGAAUCUUGCUUCUCUGAUGUUAGCGGCGGACGGGUGAGUCACACGUGAAUAACCUACCUCUACGACUGGGAUAACGUCGGGAAACCGGAGCUAAUACCGGAUAAUAUUUUGAACCGCAUGGUUGAAAAGUGAAAGACGGUCUUGCUGUCACUUAUAGAUGGAUCCGCGCUGCAUUAGCGAGUUGGUACGGUAACGGCUUACGAAGGCAGCGAUGCAUAGCCGACCUGGGAGGGUGAAGCGCGACAGUGAGGGUGAAAGGCGGUCCAGGCUCCUACGGGAGGCAGCGGUAGGGAAGCGUCGGCGAUGUGCGGAAUCCUGACGGAGCGGCGCCGCGUGGAUGAUGAAAGUCUGCGGAUCGUAUAACUGUGUUAUGAGGGAAGAACAUAUGUGUAAGGGACUGAGCACAGCGUGACGGUACCUAAUCAGAAAGCCACGGCUAACUACGUG